Lycium ferocissimum is the source of this 1056-nucleotide long non-coding RNA. RefSeq lists it as uncharacterized. The record is from RefSeq and is a predicted model, not a curated record. The transcript has 2 exons. NCBI's taxonomy places the organism in Eukaryota, Viridiplantae, Streptophyta, Magnoliopsida, Solanales, Solanaceae.
CGCCGCCGCCACCCUUUACCCAUCGGACCAUCGGUUAAAGUUGAUUUUGGCAUCACUGACGCCGCCUCCCAUCAACCCAUGUCCCUUUCUCCCCUUUUCUUCAAGUAACAGUGCUUCGAACAGCUCGUCCAAGUCAAAUUAUCCCCCUAAUCAAGAAGCAUGCAAGGAUCUUUGGGUUUCUAGGCCGAUCUUCUAACAAUCCAUAGGAUAAAGGCUCGUUUCAAUCCGUUGGAGCCUAAAACCAUGAAGAAACCACUAGAUUCGGACCUCUAGCCUUCAAAUCGCUCCGAAAAGGUGAAAAUCUGUCACUUUUUUGUUCAUCAUUUCAUUUUUUUUUUUUGAAAUUUCAGAAUUCUCCCUCCUUUUUAUUCAAAAUUCAAGGGCAAAAUCCCCUGGAAGAAGCUGUGGAAACCCCCUCAGCGUUUGCCUAUAAAUACGGCCUUCCUGGGUUGUUUCAGAUAGGUUUUGAGAAGGCUGGAAAUUCCCUUUGAGAUAGGCUCAAAAUUUAAGAGAAAACUUUUAUUUACUCUAAAAAGUUGAAUUGGAAAAUACCUUUCUUCUUCAUAAGUCUUCAUAACUAAAAAUCCAUAGUUCUUUCUAAGUUCUCAGAAAAUCCUCUUUUUAACUCUAUGUUCUUUUUGGCUGUAUAAUUUUGGUUGCUCUUGGCUAAGCAAAAAAACUAAUUCGAGCGGAUUCGGAGACUCGACGACGACAAUAGCCUCAGUUCGCUGUCCCAGAGAAGGAACCUUGGGAGCAUUAGGAGUUAUGGCAACUCCGGAUUCUGCCCAUAUCAGAGAGCAGCCAGCAGCAGAUUUAUUUGCUCGUGUCUAGCUGUCCCCUACUUUCGCGUCAAGAGUCUCCGUCCUCCUUCCUCUCUUCAAAUUUUUACACCUUUGUAUCGGCUUGUAUAAAUGUUUAUAUUCUUGACUAACAUUCUUUGGUAUGUUUGUAGUGUAUUUGUUUUCUAUUUGUGGGUGAACUAGUAUGAUAGUGAGUUUAAACGUUAGCAACUUUUCCCCUUUUCGGGUAUUAAUCUUGACUUAGCUAGUACUUAGA